UGAAUCAAUAAUAACUACACGUGCGGUC
Molecule: non-coding RNA, 28 nt
Filed under: Bombyx mori (domestic silkworm)
Lineage: Eukaryota; Metazoa; Arthropoda; Insecta; Lepidoptera; Bombycidae
Source: RNAcentral